UACAAUUGUCACGUGUAGAUUUAAUUCAAAUUAUUUAAAAUUUUUAUUUAUUGAUAUUAUAUAAUAAUUUAUUUUAUUAUGUAAUUGUUCGAAUAUAUAUUUAUAUUUGAAUUAGUACGUAGAAAGUUACAAACAUACAUAUAGGUGCAUAGAUGAGCUACCUUUUUUGGCAGUAUUAUUAUUAGUGGUGGUGGUACUAUAUGGAAUUUGACAAGCAUGAAUUCCUCGUGAAAAU
Molecule: long non-coding RNA, 235 nt
Filed under: Gossypium barbadense (sea-island cotton)
Lineage: Eukaryota; Viridiplantae; Streptophyta; Magnoliopsida; Malvales; Malvaceae
Description: long non-coding RNA (GBAR_LNC001742)
Source: RNAcentral